Molecule: ribosomal RNA, 253 nt
Filed under: uncultured bacterium
Lineage: Bacteria
Description: partial 16S ribosomal RNA
Rfam family: Bacterial small subunit ribosomal RNA
Source: RNAcentral
UACGAAGGGGGCUAGCGUUGUUCGGAUUUACUGGGCGUAAAGCGCACGUAGGCGGAUCUUUAAGUCGGAGGUGAAAUCCCAAGGCUCAACCUUGGAACUGCCUUUGAUACUGGGGAUCUUGAGUCCGGGAGAGGUGAGUGGAACUGCGAGUGUAGAGGUGAAAUUCGUAGAUAUUCGCAAGAACACCAGUGGCGAAGGCGGCUUACUGGUCCGGAUCUGACGCUGAGGCGCGAAAGCGUGGGGAGCAAACAGG